AGCAGAUGUAACUCUUGUAAUUCCAGAGAAGACCAAGAUAACAAAGUCUAUAGAGUUCCCUAAGAACGAGGAACUGCAAAACCCAUUGGCUGAUUUAGAUUCUGGAUCAAAUCAUCCACUCAACCUAAAAUCUGAAGAGCAUGUGAAUGAGCAUUUAAAACUGCUGGAUGAUGAGGUCAGUCCAGCCGUGUUAAAGAGGAAAUCUGAGGAGCACAAUCUUCAAGAGAAAGUACCAAAACAGUUUGAAACCAUUGAGCUGCUGAUAUUAGAGGAUUCAGACUCCCAGGAGACAGAGCUGAACAAUUCUGAACCCAUAGGACCAAGAGCUGCACUGAGAAAAGAAACAAAAACGAGCAAAACUGAGCCUAUAGAACCAAAGACUAUAAAUGAUAGAAAAUCUAAAGAGAAUAAGCUUGAUCAUGAUGUUUACAGUAGACAUAGAAAGCAAACAUGUCACCCGACAGCUCUGAUUGAUGAGAAACCAGAAGGGGAACAUAUUUGUACAAAUCAGAUGAACAAGAACCUGCCAGAGGCAAAACCCAAGCUGGACUGUCUGGUUAGGAAGCAACCACAUCAAGCAUCAUACAGAAUUCCUAUUCAAGCGAGAGGAGGGUUAACUAAGUUACCCAUCAGCAAAGCAGACACUAGCAGUCGUUCAUUUGGGCUUCGAGCUCCUAAAGCUGGCAUGCAUAGACACCCAUUUGGAAAACCACUGGGGCAGAAUAAGCCUUGCAUUACAUCAUCUCCAACUCCUGAAAAAUUGUCCCCAGGAGGAGUUGCUUCAGUUAGGUCAACACAAAGACCCCCAUGCACAGUCCCUGCACCAAACGGUCCCACCUCUCCCUUAAAACUGCCACAGGUCCAGCUGAUUGCACCUAAGAUCGGGCAGUCAGACCAGCCAAACGUUUCCAGGAAACGUUCUGCAUCCUUAACAAAGUAUAGUUGCUCUUCUCCUGGAAAGUAAAGAAGCAGGCGACUAAAGGGUCUCCACCAAACAAGUAGAAUAAGGCAUCAGAUUGUUGUAUACUAAUUUCAUGAAUGCAAUGAUGUGCAAUAGAAAACAAAGGCCACUGGGUUAUUUUAGUAUUUUUACUGAACUUUUAUUGAACCACGUGAGUUGAUCUCACAUAAAACUAUGCUUUAUUUGUUCUAUUUAGCCAGCAGAAAGUUAAUACAGGAUUAACAUAGGAUUUUCCCAAUACACAUAAGUUUUUCUAACUUAUGAAUUUCAGGCAC
Molecule: long non-coding RNA, 1236 nt
Filed under: Sinocyclocheilus anshuiensis
Lineage: Eukaryota; Metazoa; Chordata; Actinopteri; Cypriniformes; Cyprinidae
Description: lncRNA (ENSSANG00000026128.1)
Source: RNAcentral